UUCUGAUCAAUAUUUUGAGUUUAGAAUAAAUCAAAUGUGUAAUUUGAAGGGAGCCUAUUGAAGUGAUGAACUGACAGAAUUAUUCAUGAACUUUUCCUCAACUCACCUAAGCUAGCAAAGUUAGUAGCUAGCUUGAGAACACAGUGCCGCAUUUAGCAGCUAAAAGGAGAAUGAAGAUUGGACUUACAUUCAUAACUUUUUUCCAACUCUAGUUGUUAGUAGCUAAUUUUCUUUUCCUACUCAGAAUAAAUAUGUUGUGGACAGUAUUAACAUGUUCAGUUCUACAUAAACAGUUCUGCCACUUUAAAUAGGUUUAGGUUGUUUGCAUUGUACAUAGUGAGAAGGUGGAGUUAAUAGUGCAACGCUGUUGGAUUUUACCAUAUGUGGUUGGUUGAUUAGUACGCAUGUCAUUUUUCCUGCAUUGUGAUUGGCUGGGGGGCGGGACUUGACGAGGUGCGGUAGAGUGAAAAAAAAGUGAGCGAGCGGCGUCUUCGGGAAGUUUGUUGCUCGGAGGAUAAGUGAAGGAGGAAAAGACUGAGAAUUGUAGUGAAACAGGGUUAAAGUAUGGUUUGCCAGUUAAUGUGCUGUAUACAUUAGAGCACAAGACUGCUAACCAGUGAAAACAUGUAUGUGUAUUGUGAGAAGUUCAGUAAUAGACGCAGUGGCUAAUGUCGUGUUAUUAUUAGCCUUUCUAGCUAACUAGCUAAGUUGGUUGCCACGGAGACAUUCUGAACUGCACAGACAGACUGCAAGCGACUCGGCUAAGGUCUGGAAGUUUCUUUGGAUCACUAGAGACAGUCGGUGUCACCAGCCAGCGCUCCAGGUAGCCAAGUGAAGCCUGGUAGCUUCUUUAAGGACGAAGUGGGACUGGAGAGAGGAUUCCCCUGUCAGCCCGCCACGAUCAGCCAUCAACCGGCCACGGUCAGCCAUCAGCCCGCCUGGAGAUCCCAACAGCGGGAUUGCGUGACUUACCUGUAGCUAUUGUCCCGGCUGGCGUUUCCUCAGCGGUGUCGUUUAGAAGCAGGAAGGAUGGAGGCAUUCUUCCUCCCAGGGCCUCCUGUUCUUUCUGUUCCUGUCCUCUUUCCACUCUUGCUCUAAAUCAGAGCGACAGGACCUGCAGGGGGCAGAGGAGAACAUCAAAUACGCAGCUCUGACAUGCAUGAAAGACUGUGACGGUGCUGCUCAGUGCAGGAGCUGAGGCAGGACAGAUACAGAUGAAUAAAUGGAUGAGGGUAGGAUGGAUGGAUACCCUGAACUAAUGUCCACCCCCUCGGAGUCGGACAUGUGAAGGGGGAAAAGGGGAAAUGUUCUGCACGGACCACAAGAAAAACGCUGGAAGAAAUUGGCAAAUACUGUUGGGUCCAGGUCUAGUUUCAAUCACCUUCAAAAACACACCACUACUUCUUCCUGGAGCUUCGCAGAGCCUUAUCAUGACUCCCUGCAUUUGUUUUUAAAGGCCGACAAUUGCAUUUUCACUUGCUGCCUCCUUUCACCAAGCAGUAAAAGGUCCCAGGACAGUUUGGACGAUCAGUGAGGACAGGAGCGACACUUCAGACAGCACAUUGUGUGUGAGUGCAAAGAAUGACAAAUCACAUUAACGCCAAGACACCUGGUAUAUUGUGAAAGAGAGAUAAGCGCACAGACAUGAAACACCAGUGACAGUUUUAUAUUGCUUCAGUCUAACCUAAAAGCAGCUGCAGCACAGAUGAUUUGAACAAGGUGAGGAGCAAUUGUAAGAGUAACUAACAUAAACUGCCAAUAGAUAUAAUAUCAGAUACAAGGUCAAACUAUUAUUGUGAUGUAUAUACUGGAUUAGAAUUGUCUUUUAUAGACUAUCAUGUCUUUUUCAGUUGGUUAUUUACUUCAGCUCUGUUGGUAAUGUCCACUGCACCUGUCUCAGCAACUGUUGAGGGAUGAGCCACAUGGUCCCCAGAGGAUGGAUCCCUAAAGACAUCAGUAAUCCCUUGACUGUUCAUCAAACUCCACCAUUAAGUUUGACAUUUUUUGUUUUGUGUGAAAUAUCUCAACAAAAACUGGAUGGAUUGCCAUGAAAUCUGAUACAGAUACUAAAGGUCUCCAAAUGAUGUAUUGUACUGACAUUGGUGAUUCCCUGACUUAGAUCUAAAGCCACCGAAAAGGUCAAAAUGUAAAUGGGUUUAAUACUUUGGUUUAUGACCAAAUACCUGCAAAACGAAUGAUAUUUCUAUCAGCAAAAAGGCGCUAAACUAAAGUUGGAUUUAUAAUUGUAGCCAUGGUUACUAUAAGUGCUGCUGUAGAUACAUGUGGUGUGGGUUUUGAUUUAUAGUUGAGUAUCAGAUUUCACUCCUUUAUAACACCAUCACUAACUGUAUUGUACAUAAUCAGGCCGUGCCAUGCUUUAAUUAUAUCCCCCACUGUAACUGUCUUUAUAUUGUUUCAUGCACUUUGUAAUAUAGAGCUGUGAUGUCUUUAUAGGACUGGGAUUAUAUGCAGGUAACAUUAUUUCACCUUGUUUCAUUACUUAAUAAGAGACCACUCCUAUGCUGUCGCUGUCUUCAUGUUAUUUUUUUCAUCAUGAUAAGAGAGUGAUGAUUGUGUUCAGCUAAAGGUUUGCAGAAGAAAUGUCUCUGUUAGAACAUGUAUUACUGGAGAGGAGACCACCACUGAGUCGCCCUUCAACUUCAACAAUGUACACCUACAAACAGGCUGGGCCAUCUACAUUAGCCUGCCUUUAAUUGCUCAUGACCUACAGUGAGAAUGUUUACAGGGGAAUUUAAUCUGCACAAGAGCGUUAUUAACAAAAUGUGGGUGUAUAAUUUUGUCGAAAAAUAUCUUUUUCGAUUCUUAGAGAGAUUUUUACAUCAUGAUCCAUACAUCAUUUCAUGAGAAACUGACAAAGAUGUCUAAAAAUGCCCUAAUCUCGCAAUGUUAAGGCAAGUGGAUCCAAUUCUGUAACUAAUUCAGCACCAAUUUAAUGGGUGCUUCCCUGGCCCAUGCCCCGUCCCUCCACCAAGUCAGGUACACAUUGGUUGAGAGCUCUUUCUGUAAUCCUGCUGACAAACAAACCAACAGAGACACAGGUGAAAAACAUAACCUCUUUGGUGGAGGUAAAAAAAUAAACAGAAUGGGGUUGAAGUCUUUAUUAUAAAUCAUUUACAUUACAAAGUAAGACAUUAGUCAUUGCCAUAUCCAUCCAAACAUCUUGUUUACAAGGAGAGGUUAGUGAAUCAGCACGCCAGAGGAGGGGUUCUUCUUCUGAAGUCAUAUUUCGCCAUACAGGAGGAUGUUGGCACAGGGUUAAUCAUACUACUGUUGAACCAUGCACUCAGACACACACACACACACAGAAUAUCGUCAACCUUCAAGUAUGAGUACACAGGUGCUGUGCUGAUUUUAGCUCAGGUGUUGAGCCAUCAAUGGCAGAUGAAAAAAAGUGAGAAACAGGACAGAAAAUGAAGCUGCACGGACAAGACAAGGUGAUGUGCAAGACAGAGAGACAGCAGGUAGCUUUCUUAUCCAUCUGGACCUUUUUGGACUGACAUGAGACUCCCUCUGUCCCAUUCAUAUUCACGCUGUCCACUCUUAAUAUUCUGAGGGAGUCAAUCCACUGACCCCUUCCUCACGAUAUCUUUCCCGUUAAAGGCUUGAUGAAGGCUUCAUUCAUCCUGACACACGCAUCCAUAUUGCAUCUGAUCUGACAUCAUAGUGAGCUGGACAAUGUGGAGGAGGAUAACUGGUCCUCUAAGUUGAAUUAGUGAGGUCUUUGAGUCUGGAAAAUAUUUUUUGGUCUUUUCCCUGCCCUUUCUGUCCUUUUCACAUAACACUUUUUUUUUUUUUUUUUUUUUUUAAUAUCUUUAAAUAAAAAUGCUUUAGAAAU
This is a long non-coding RNA of Seriola aureovittata, 3856 nucleotides long. RefSeq lists it as uncharacterized. The record is from RefSeq and is a predicted model, not a curated record. Lineage: Eukaryota; Metazoa; Chordata; Actinopteri; Carangiformes; Carangidae. The transcript is spliced from 3 exons.